This 28677-nucleotide long non-coding RNA is filed under the name Durio zibethinus. RNAcentral's name for it is "long non-coding RNA (DZIB_LNC000204)". Lineage: Eukaryota; Viridiplantae; Streptophyta; Magnoliopsida; Malvales; Malvaceae. The record is from RNAcentral.
AAUUUUGCAAAGAUUAAUGCAGUGGUGGGGAAAUUGUUCCUUGUAAAUUGUGCCUUGCAAUGUGUAUCCAACAUAUUUAUGUAAUCUUGUGUUUAUAACCUGAGAAGGUUGAUCCUGAAGUCUCUAAUUAAAUUUGAUUGGUUUGGUGGGCAGAAGAUGGAGUCAAAAAUGUUUUGUAGGGCAAAAGAAGAUGGUAGGGAUGAGGAAAAGAAAGGAAGAGCAACACCUACUUUUCCAUCUUUUGGGGCUGUAAUGGAGGUUCUUUUUCUUAUGAUUCUCUUCUUUUCUUUUAGGAUUUUGAAUUUUCCAAGAUAGAUGACUCAACAAAUCUUUUGACAUAAUAUUUAUGCAACUGAAAGGUGUAUAUGUAUUUGUCUAUCACAUAUAAGAGUAACCCUCUUAGAUUUUUUUAUAUAACUCUCCAUUUUGAUUAUGUGCCUCUUUGGGUAAUAUGCCUUACUUUUAACUAGUCUUUUACUACUUGAUUAAAUUAUUUUCUGUACAUUUUAUUUACUGGGCUCAAAGAAAAUUUCGUUUAGAAUUUUCUGCCGCAACAAGGAAUAUUCUGAGACAGAAGUUUGUUUUAUGUUUUGAUUGUUGUGUGUGGUGAUAAAAAGAGAUAGAUAUUGUGUGCUGGCAAAUAAGAUAAGAUGGAUGAAUUUGAGCCAACUGACCAACUUUAAAACAAAAAAAAAAAGUUAAUAUAAUACAAACAUACAAAACUCAUUUCUCUUCUGUUCGGUUUCAAAUCCAACCUCCAAUCAACUAUACUUCAUUGAACUCUUAAAAUUAUCUUAAGAAAAGUGAAAAGAAAACAGAGAAAAAAAGAAAAAAAUUAUUUUAUUUAAUUAUCAGAUAUAUUAAUCGUCAUGUGAUAAAUUUUUAUUUUUUUAUUAAUAUCGCAUGAAAUUUUAUUUUAAUUGGUAAAAAAUUUUUUGUUAAAUUUUUAACCAAAUAAGAAUUUAAUUGAAUAUAAAUAAAUAUUAAAAGAAUUAAUUAAUAUUAAUAAAAAAUAUAAACUUAAAUAAUUUUUUAAUUAUAAUCAGGAUUUUCUUUAAUGAUCUUUAGCCCCUUUUUGUUUUGUUUUUUUUUUUCUCAAGCGACAAAAGGAAUCAUUUAAUGGAAAGAGUAGCUUAAAGCGCCAAAUGAACUAAUUGAAUUUAGAUAAGAUUACUUUAGGCCGAAUAAUUUUGGAUUGAAAGAAAUUUGAGCUGUUUUAGAUUUAAAUUAUUUUGAAAAUCAUUUUAAUUCAAUAAUUGGGUCAAUGAAUGAGAGCAAUUUUCAACCUCCUUUCUAAGGUCAACCACAUCUUUGAGUAUUAGAUUUAGGGAAAAUAAUUAAAAAAAAAAGAAAUAAAACUUUAUGAUUAUGUAUGCAUUAAAAAAAGAAAUAAACUUUAUGAUUACAACAAUUUAUACAUUAAACAAAAAAAAAUGCAUCAUAUUUUAUGAAAUUAGUUGUGCGGAUGGGUUGAUUAUGAUUAUGCAUGCAAUAAACUUUUGUUCUUGGAGGGGAGGGUACUUGAGGUAGGGGGCCCGGGCCAAGUUAUCAUUUAAAUAUUUGGAAAUCAUAUUUCCCUUUGUUAAGAAAAAUUAAUACUGAAAAUCAUGAGAUACUUAGAUGCAAAGAGGUUGAAUUGUGAAACAUAUCACAUCUUGAACAGUGGCUGACCACAAAACAAUGUGCACGCUCACAAAACUAAAUUUCUAAUUCGAGAGUACGAUUGCAAUGAGAAAAGUUAUAGUACGCUCACAGAGCUCAUCGAAAGGAUGAAACCGAUUUGAUUUUAAGUUAUCCAAGCCUUAAAACAUAUUUAUAGUUUAUGAAAUAAUUUAAUAUUGAAAAAUUUUCUUAAAUUACUUCAAUAUGUUGGUAAUAAUUUAAUAACAUUUUCUCACCUCAAGAAUAUUUAAGGACACUAUUUGUUAUGCUUAGAAGAGGCUUCAUCAUCGGAUUCACUUAAUUUUUUUUGUAAAAAAAUUUUUCAUUUGGGAUAAUGAGAUUUAGAAUCUUGGUAUCGAAAAUUUUUAUCUACAUUCUCCAAUAUGUUAGUAAAAUUUAGAGAAAGAUUUUUUCACCUAAGAAUUUGUAUAGAGAUUGCUAUUUGUAAUGCUCUUAAUAAUUUUAUUAUCAGAGAUUCAAAAUUUAAUUUUUAUAAAAAUAAUUUAUUUUUAAAAAUAUAUUUUAAUAUGUUGGUAAAAUUUUCUGUUAAAGAAUAUCCUACAUUAUGUUGGUAGGAUUUUAUGAAAAUUAUUAAAAAAAAACUUAAUAAUCAUAAGAUUUCCAAUAUGUUGGUAAAACUUUAUAAAACCACGAGUCCUCCAAUAUAUUAAUAAAGCUUUUUUUUUAAAUCAUUUUAUUAUUUUUUGAAACUUAAACCUUUUAAUAUGUUGAUAAUGAUUUUUUUUAUUUUAAAAUAUUUUUAUAUAAAAAUAUUUAUAAAUGAAUAACAAAUAUAAAUAAUUAAAUAACAAACAAAAUAAUAAAAUAAAAUUAAUUCUCAAAAUUCAGCUUGGUUGGUGGCUUGGAAUCGUGGCUCAACUUAGGCACAAAGCUGGCUGGAAUGGCUUGGUUAAGACAGCUUGGCUUGGCUUGAGAGGAGCUGUUGGAACCAGUUGCAAUUGGGUACGCAACAAAUCGGAUCUGGGUAUGGGUAUGGGAAACACGUGGAUCCUAAUGAACUCUGGAUCCAAAACGAUGCCAUUUAACACCAAUAUAGAAGGCAAAACUUUUGUUUUUUGUUUCAGAUUUCCUUACACUCUCUCUAGCCCUUUUUCUCUUUGCUUCUCUCUAUAGAAAAACAUAAACACUGGUGGCCAAAAACUGGGAACUAGUCGGAUUCUGUAAAACUCAUCGGAAUCUCACUAGAAACUUCAAUUUUAGUCAAAAAAAUUCAAUUAAAAAAAUUAAAAAAUUCAUCUAAUUUUCAAAAUUUUUUUAAAAAUUCCAAAAAAAAUGCAAAAAAAUAAAAAUAAAAAUAAAAUCACCUUCCUUGCCUCCCAGAAACUGCCUUGACUGAAUUACUCACCAUUUCCUAAAUUUCCUAAAAAUUUCAAAACCUUAUUGUCAGAAAAAAAACUCUCUUGAAACUGUGUAAUUUUUUUGUAUCCUUUUUACCUAUUUUCCCUAUUCAUUUGCUGAGUGUGGAAUGGGGUUUAUAUAGGGAUCCAAUUCCCUUCAAAUUUGGAAGAAUUACUUUGACCGAAUCCUUGAAUAUGUAAUGAUUUGAUCUUAUGCAAUUUGAUUUGAUUUAUGACUUUCUUUUUUCAUUAAGAUCUCCAAAAUCAUUUAAUCUGCAAUUGAUUUCCCCUUAUAAAAUCCCAUGAUUUAAUUUCCAUAUUGGAUUUAUGAAAUUAAUGCCAAGACCCUUCCAUGAUUUCCCCAGAUUUCAACAUGGUUUUUUUUCUUAUUUUUUUUAAAUAAAAUAAUAUAAAAAUUAUAUACUUGGACUCAAAGCCCAGUCAAUAAUUGAACAGUUCAAAGAUUGAUCAAUUCAAUACCUAAUAGGCAAACUGAAAGAUCAUACCUUAAACCAUAAGAAACCUUUCAUUCAUCAUGAAAAAUCAUGACUUUUGUACAAGAUCAUUCAAAUGCCUUGUAUGGUCAUUCAAAUAUCAUUUUUUUUUUUUUUUUUGUUUCCAUAAUGCAAACACAAAGUUAGAUGCCUUGAAUACGGCAUUCAAAUGCCCUGACCAGACUUUUUAAACAGAAAGGUAGAAUUCAGAUGCUCUUAAUGGAGAAUUUGGAUGCCCUUGCUAGAACUUAAAAAUCUAUCUCUACCUAGCUUUAAAGUACAUUCCAAGUUUAAUCUUAGAUUUCUUAUUUCCUUAAUUAACAUAAUUAAUAAUCUUUAAUAUUUUGAAAAUCAUUUCUAACAUUAAUAAUAUUUUGUUUAUGAUUAUUCUUACUUUUAAUUAAAUUUAGACAUUGUCAUAACUUUUUUUUUAAUGUCAUAACUUUUUUUUUAAUAUUAUAACACUUCUUACCAAUUUUAUGCAAAUACAAAUUUUACGUCAUCUCUCACCUAUUUACGUUACUAUAAUUUUUUGUUACUUAUUACCUAUUUUUCUUAUAUCUUGUAAAAAUAAUAAUUAUUUAAAAUUUUACGUUUCUAACUUAAUUAUUUAUGUUAUAAUAAUAUGUUUUCAUAAUUAUUCUUACAUUUAUUACAUUUAGAAUUAUAAUAGCUAUGUUACGACACUUCUUAUCUAUUUUAUACCAAAUAAUUUGAAUUUUAUGUUUUCUCACAUUUGCUUACUUUACCUAUAUUUUUAUUAUUUAUUAUAUUUUUUUAUAUAUUUACAUGAAUAAUAAUUAAUUAAAAUUUUAUGUUGACAACUUUAUUAUUCACAUUACAAUAAGUUCUUAUGUUGUUAUUAUAUUCUAUUACAUUUAGAAUUAUUAUAACUCUUUUAUAGAUGUUAGAACACUUCUAACCCAUUUUAUGCCAAAUAUUAUGAAUUUUACAAUUCCUCUCACUUGCUUAUGUUAAUAAAUUAUUUAUUAAUUUUUUAUUCUAAAAUAUCAUUUCUCUUUUUUUUUUUAUCUUGCAAAUAUUUUUUAGCCAUUUUUCUUAUAUAUUUUCAAGAAAAAUAAUUAAUUUAAAAUUUAUAUUACUAACUUAAUUAUUUAUGUUAAAACAAUAUCUUUUGAUGCUUAUUCUUAUAUUCAAUUAUAUUUAAAUUUUUUAUAACUUGUUUUUUAGUGUAUGUUGCAACACUUUUAACUAAUUUUACAUCAAUUAUAAAUUUUAUUAUUCCCUUCAUAUGUUUAUGUUAAUAAUUUUUAAAAUAUUUAUUUUUAAAAAAAUUCUUUUAUAUUGUUUUUCUUAAAAGUAUAUUUUAUGUUAAUAUUUUAUUAAUUUGUGUAUAAUUAUUUUUUAUUUUAUAAUGCUCUUUAGCUAUUUUAAAACACACCAAUUACUUUAAAUUUAUUAAAAAGAAUAUUUUAAUUAUUAUUUUUUUAUUUUUAAUUAAUUGCAUAAACAAUUAAUAAAGUGGAAAAUAAAAACUAUCACCUAAAUUGAAAAUCCUUUAAAUUUUGCAUAGAACAUUAAAAUUUUGCAAAAAAUAUUUUAAAUUUUGUUUAGCAAUCUCAUUACUUGAUACAAAGAUUUUACCUUUCUUCACUUUGAAAUUUGGUCAAUGGUUGAUAUUUAACUAUAUAAAAUUAAUGAUAUUAUUUGUUAAUCUUAUUAUAAAAUUAUAAAAUGUAAACUUACCAUAUAAGUUCCUGUUAUAAAUAUAAAACACAAGUUCACACUUAUAGUUUAGAUUUGUGUUAUUCAUUUUUAAAGCUGUCAGAACUGAUUCGAAUUUAAAAAAUUCAUUCAAUUUGUUUAAACUCAAACAUAACUUAAUUCAACUGGAUUUGACUAAAAAAAGUGAUCAACCCGAAUUUGUGCAACACAAACACGAAAUUAAUUUUAAUUCAAAAUCAUUUAAAUUCAAAACAAUUCAAAAAAAAAAAACCUAUAAUUGAAUUAAUUCAAACUCGAAUAAUUCAAAUGAUUGAUAUAAAAUGAUUUGAACUUAAAUUAAGUAUGAUUUAUUUUAAAAAAAAUUAGUUUAAUAAAAAUAGUAAAAUAAAUAAAACAAAAUUAAAAAUCAAAUAAUAUUUAACUUUAAAAUUAUUUUAUAUAUAAUUUUUAAAGCAUUUAGUCUUUAGAGAUUUUUUUAAUUAAAAGUAUCCUCUUAGUUACGAGUGAAAAGCUUGAAAAAUAAAAUAUUAUAACUAAAUUCAAUUUCUAUGAUAAUACCCCAUAAAUAAAAAAGUUUUUUUAAAAUUUUUUUACAAUUAUACGUCAUAGAUAAUUUUUUUAUGAUAUCAAAAUGAAAAUUAAAAAUAUAUUACAAGUUGAUAAAAUGUAACAUUAAAAAACUUUAUUACAAUUACAUAAAAUAUUAUUGAUUUUAUUGUAACAUUAAAAUCUUUCAAUUAGAUAAAAUGUAACAUUAAAAUCUUAUUGAUUUUAUCCAAACAAUUCUUUCAAAAUUCAAUUUGAUUUAUUUUUAAAAAUUAGUAACUUAAAUUCAAAGCAAUUGGAAUUAAAAAAUUUAAAUUUUAAAAUGAAUCAAAUUUAAAAUAAUUCAAAUUCAAAAUAAUUCAGAUUUAAAAUAACAUAAAUAGAAAAACAUCUUAAUUUUUUUUACCUAAAAUAAUCGUAUCCGAAAUAAUCCAAUUUAAUUGAGAUCCGCUUGUCUGCCACCUUUGUCCGUCUCUUCAUUUAUUUAUUUAUUUAUUCAUGAUUUGGCUUUUAUUUGAGUAUUGCAUAUUCGAAUCAAAAGGGCCCCGCUCCACCGUUAUAGGGGUAGGUACCUCAGCCAGAUUUCGGUGGUAGGUGCCACUGCCCUCACUUCAUCUCACAGGGUUUUGGGAUAGACUGCAAUAUGCACGUGAGUUUGUGUGGAGGUCCCGUCAGGUUACUAUUAAAAAAAUAUUUAUUUUUAUUUAUUUUGAGCUCAAAAGUAUAAUUAAAAAUAUAAAUGAUACAUUAAUACUCAUAAAUUAUUAAGAUUCGAUUCAAAUAAAGCUCAAAUUUGAUUCAAUUAUUAUUGAAUUGAGUUCGAACUCGAGUAAUUUAAUUUAUCGAUUGAAUCGAGUUCGAAUAUUCUUAUACCUGAUUCAAGUAUUUGAUAAGUCUAAUCAAAUUUUUAUAUUUAAAUAUAUUUUUAUUAUUUUAAUUAAUAAAAUAUCUCAAAUUUUAAUUUUAGUUUGAGCACAAAUAAUCGAAUUUUUAUCGAAUAUAUGAAUCGAAUUAAUUUUUAUAUAUUAAUUGAACUUAAUGAAACGAAUUUAAAUAGUUCAAUUUCGAUCACGAAUCAAACUCGAAUUAAAAAAAUAAAAUUCGAUCAAAUUCAAAUUAAAAAUUAAAUUAUGAGUUAAAAAUCAAAUUUAAACUUAAUUUUUUUAUUAUAUUAACUCGAUUUAAUUCUAUUAAACCUAGACAUAAUAAUAGAAAAUAGAAAGAGAAACGUGGUCCCUAUGCGAAUGCGACAAGCUAGUUUAGUCUUAUUCAAUAAGUUAGGAAUGAUUUUGUCUUUGAACAGUUGUACAAUGUUAUUUUCGUAAUUUUCAAAGUAUUUUUGAAGUAAUUUAAUAAAAUUUGUUAACAUAUUAUUUAUAAAACCAUUUAUACACUAAAAUUGAAACUACGAUCAGUAAAAAAUUUUAUAUUGUAUUGAAUGAAAAUUUUUUUCCAAUAUAACCUUGUCAGCAAAAAAAAUUUAUCAAUGAAUUAUUAAUUUAACAAUAUUAAUAAUAAUUUCAGAAUUAAAAUUUUUUGAAUUUAAAUGAUAAAAAUUUUAUCUUAAAAUGAUUGUUAGGCUAACAAUUUGAUAGCAUUAGGGAAUAGGGUAAAGUAAGCUUCUUCAAAUGUAUAAUUUGGAUGGAUUUGGAAUGCCAAAAUUUUAUUUUCUUAAACUUUUUUAGAGAUUUCAUUAAAAUAGGAUUAAUCAUGCUUUUCACUUCCAGCUUUCAUAUUCUUUUCUUUUGAAUAGUUAACCUUUUUUCUUUCAAGAAUUUUCUCAGCCACUUUCUUUCCCAACUUUCUUGGAAUUUCUUCAGAAAAAAAAAAAAAAACAGUGCAAACAAAUUGAAUCAAAGUCCUUAAAAAUGGAAUACCUAAUACUGUACUUAUCUCAAACUUGUUAGUUAACACUACUACUUGCCAAUUACUAUCUGUUCUUCAAGCCUGUCCCUUUAAUUAUAAUUUGGGGAUUUACAAUUGUGAAAAGCACUCAACCAAAUAUUUAUUUUUACUUAAUUGAGUUUUUAUUGGAUGAAAUUUGAUUAACGGUCAAUAUUUAUUUUCAUCUAAUUGAAAGUUUAAUUAGAUUAAAAUAAAUGUUUUAAAAUUUCAAUUUAAUAAAAAUAAAUGUUUGAGAGUUCAAUUAAUUACAAUAAAAUGAUUGUAAUAAAAUGAUAUUGCUUGAAUGUUUAUUUAAUUUUAGUUCAAGAGUUUUUUGUUUAAUUUAUGAAUCAACAUCAAAACAAAAACCAAAAUUCCAAUACAUAAAUAAUUUAAAAUACCAUGGUCAUUUAACUCUUAUAUAUAUUAGUUUAAAAUUUUCCAUCUCAAUAUCUUAAAAGACUAAAAUAAUAAAAAAAAUUCAUAAACUUUAUCAUUUUAUUUAAAUAAAUCUUUAUAUUUUUAUUACAUUCAAAUAAGUAUUUAACAUUUACUUUGUAUCUAAAUAAAUUUUUAAUUUGUAUAAAAAAAGUCUUUAACAUAAAUCAAAAUUAUUUGAAAUAAGAGUUGAUUUAUAUAUAAAUUAAAAAAUAAUAAUUUAUUUAAGUAUAAUAAAAAUAUACGAACUUAUCUAAAUAAAAUAAUAGAAUUCGAAAGUGUUUUAUAUAUAUAUAUAUAUAUAUAUUAGCCUUCCUAAAACUUAAACCUGCAUGGUUUGUGUUUAGGAUAUAUAUUAAUAUAACCCUAAACUGCGAAUAAUGUUUUAUUUUUAUUUUCUUUGCCUUCAAUGUAUGUAAGAAGUUUUUUUUUUUUUUUUUUUUUUUAACAUCCUAACAAAGACCAAGAGGGGAAAUGUGAUUCCAACCUUAAAUUUUUAAUUUUAUUUAUUUAUUUAUUUGUGAGAUACGAAGAGAAAAGGGGAUUAGAACUUUGAACCUCUGUACUCUUCAAGAGAAUAACAAGUAACAACCAUUAAGAGGGGUAAGGUUUUUUUUUUUUUUUUAAUUUUUUAUAAAAAAAGUUGUAGGUUCGAAAAUAAAUAAAAUAAUUGAAAGUAUUAAAAACUAAAAUUAAAAUUUAAUAAAUAUUAUUUUUUUUAAAAAUAAUUAUAUGAAUCAAUUAAAUUAAAUUAAGUUUUAAUUUCUAAGCAAUCAUAAUUGAUUUAACAAAUAUCAAGCAAAAUUAGUAAAAAAAAAAAAAAACAAAAACUCAGAUAUCAAGCAAAAUGCAAGUUGUUUAAGAUCAUUUUUCAUUUUAAUAACUAUCAAUUAACAUGAUUAAACUGGCCAAAUUUUUUUAUCAAUUCAAGAUUUUGCAAUCCAAAAAGUCAAUAUUAUUUGGGAAAAGUGAAUUAUAAAAAAAAAAAGCAAACCAAUAUUUUAUGUAGAUAAACCUUUUCUCCUUAUAUAUUUUAAAGCAUUACACACUCCCAAGCCUUUUUUUAAUACAUGAAAUUUUAUUUAUUCUAAUUCAAAUAAUUGUCGUUAUUCUAAGAAAUGAUUCUCCACGAAUGCCAAUAUAUAAAAUAUAUAUUAAUAAUUUAAGGAUAAUUUAGAAAUUGUGAUUUUUGAUAUAUUCUCAGUCUCCAACUUUUAAAAACACCAGAAACUUGGUCUAACAAAUAAUGUUUCUCCUCUUAGGUAUUGGUGAAAGUGAAUUAAUCAUGUUGCUUCAAAAAUAUUUUACGAUGCCAACAAAUUAAUGCCAGUUCUGUAUGGACAGGUUGUUCAAAUCAUGAUUAUCAAAAGCCAAAUACAUUAAAUAAUUAUUUGUUUUUUAUUCUUUAGGCCAGAUUGGCAUAAAUUAUGAAUGCUUAAUGACAACACUGUAUCAUAAUUAGCAUCAAUUAAUUCACAAGUAUAUUAAAAAAAUAAAAGUAUUUUAGACUUUAUUUUUAGGCUAAAAAAAUAAUAAUAAAAAAAAAAACCUUUAAACUUUUAAUUUGCAUUCAAAUAAAUUUUUAAUUUUAAUUUGUAUUCAAAUAAAAUUUUAAUCUUUAAUUUAUACUUAAAUAAAUAUUUAAUCUAAAUAAAAUUUUAUUUAAAUAUAAAUCAAAAGAUAAAAUUUAUUUAAGUAUAAAAAAAUAUAAAAAUUUAUUUUAAAAAUAAAAUAAUUAAUGUCUUUAAUAUCUUAACCCUAUUUCUAUAAUUCCCUUCAUUCUCUUUAGGUGUAAGGGAGAAUUUUUGGUUAAUGGAGGUUUAGGUCAUUGCUCCUAAUUCAAUAUUUUAUUCAGCCUCUUUCAACACAAAAUAUAAUUUCAUUUUUCCAUAAACAAGACAAUUGUGAAUUGUCUUUUAGUUGGCCAUAACCUCCUUAUUAGUUAAUCAACUCCCAGAUUAACGUUAGUUUAUUACCUUGUAAGGCUAAAGACCAGAGUUCAGAGUCAAGCACACACAAACUCCAAUGUUUUCAAUGUUGUCUGUCUGUUAUUUUAUUACUUAAAAUUCAGUUAAAAGUUGAAAUUUAUUGUAUAAAUGACAAUAUUGAUGACAUCAUGCUAUUUUUUCUUACAACAUUUUGAGUAUUAUUAAAAGCUUAAAGUGGAAGCCAGAUGCCUACCAUAUCCCCACUAAUGCAAAUUGAAUAAUGAUUUUCUAGAACUUGGAAGCAAUAAUCAGGAAAAUCUUUCAUACGCAUAUAAUGCAAUAAUGACUGGAGAUAGAACGCAAAGCUGGGAGUUUAAGGGAAGGCAGAUAGUUUUUCUUGGAUUGCCAAAGAAUAACGAGAUUCCAAAUUUCCCACCUCAAACAGUACUUAAUAAUGGCAGAAGAACAGCCCGAAACAAUGAUUUCCCCAGCAUUACACAGGACAGGAUAGAUAACCUGUAGCUUCUCUUGUCUGUGUUCUGUCCGUGUUCCUAUUUUUUUCUAUACAAGUUCUAACAUGGAAGUAACUUCAAUGGUAAUUUAUGAAUGAGCAUUAACUUGUAGUUCACUUACGCUACUUGCAAACAAAGAAAAAAAAAAAGGACGAUGCGGAGCAGUGUAGCCACUUCAUCGAAACAAAAACAGUCAAACUCCUAAUCUGAUCGUGUCGAAGCAGGUAACUUCUCCUCUAGCUGCUUAUCCUGCUGCUUCUUCAGAUACCUCUGAGCAGUUGCAUUGACAAUCUUGACAAAGAAGUUUAUGAGCAUAAGCCAGACAACAAUGUUCCAGAUCAAAGCAAACGAAAAAUCCCACUUCUCCUGCAGCACAAUUUUGUAGAGCAGAUUUAUAAUUGUCAGAUUUGACUAGGCUCUAUUUCCAUAGUGGGUGCUAGUCAGUUAAACUCACUCUAAAAUGGAUAGAUCUUUUGUACUGGCUUAAUGGAGUACCUUAAUAUUUGAAGGCAUGGUACGUGGGGUGGCCAGGUACUUCUCUUUGACUGCAUGGAGUUUUGCUGUGAGUGUGGGCAAGAAAGCAUCCAAUCCAGGUAUGAGGCUAAGCACCCAAAUCAAUUCAUUCUCUAUCCAGUCCAGGAGUUGAUUAUUACAGACAGAGAUAAUAAAAACCGUCUGCAGAAAAAGAAUCAAAUAGGUACUUAAAACAUGCUUGAGCAGGCUGGACUUGCAAAAUAAGAAUCAGGAAAAUCUAGCUUCAUCAAGACAAUAGGAAACAGAGAAGGUUGUCAUUCUCUGGCAGUAGUCAAUUCAACCUAAAUCAUUUGAGAGUUGAGACAUUUUGGCCAAUGCCAAUGCCAAUACCAAUACCAAAAGCAAAACAAUGAAGUAUAAACACAAAACAGCUCGAUUGAGUAGAAGCAGAAAAAAGUGAAGUCAACUGAGACUCUUUUUGCAUGUAAAACACAAAGAGAACAUCACAAACCUGUAUGUGAGUUUUAAUAAUUGCCUUUCCAAUCAAUGUUGCGAGAAAGAACUUCCAGAAUGGAAUCCCAAACUGUCCACACAUGAUGCCAGCAAGGUCAAAUAAAGGAUUUGGGACCUGAAACAUAAUUCAGUUCAUCAGCAGGUUUACAUGGUAACAUCAAUCAACAAUGGCAUAAAUAGCGUUUAUAAACCAUGGUCAAUUUAUAUGAUCUUUAAAUGAAAAUAAUUAACAAGGCUUAGAGUUCAAAAACCAUUCAGGUUUCUCCAUUAUGCUAUCAAAAAAUAAUACCAACACUUCAUAAUUGAUAGGUGGAAAUUUUCACAUUAAAUCCUUAGGAACAAAAUUUGCAGCAUGAGAAACUUUUACCAGAAUGGAUAUCAUUUAAGUAUGAUUUUACUCUGGAGAUAAUGCAUUAGAACAUUGAUAUUUUUAGGUCAACAAGUGCGUGAGGGUGUGCAGGUUUAAGUGUGCUUUUGUUCAUGUGCAUGCAGACAAAAAACAGGGAUAUCGUAGUCAGACAAACAAUAUGCACUAAAACGAAAAUGUCUAAUGCUGCAUAAUAUUUGGCAUUGUUCAAAAAUGUAGUGCUAUGAAAUGAAAAAGAUAAAAAUUACAACUGACCGAGGCAAGCACUAAAAUGGGUGAAGAAGUUCAAAUGUUGGGAGUGGGAUAACAGCCAGUGUUUGAUCUGUUUUAGGUGAGUAGCAAUGACUCCAUUAUCCUCACUUGAGGAAGAAUUUAAUUCUUCCAGGGCAUCAAAUUUGCUACCUGAUAGACUAGCUGCAUAAAGCAGAAGAUCAAUGUAAGAUGGAUAUUUUAAUAGUAUGGAGUACAAGUAGAAAAUCUAAAUGGAUAUACAAUCUUCAGUAGACAACCAACAUUCAGACAAAGAAUAGCAACCCUAAAGUUCACAUAGAAAAUUCAAUCACCUACCAAAACAGAGUCAAAAGUGAAAGAAGGCAACUACAUUGCAAAGUCAAGCCAAUUUCAUCAAGAAACAACAUUUAAAACUUCAUGUUAUUAAUCAAAGGAAAACUUCAAACAUUAAAACUCUUCAAAUUACAAUACUCGUAGAGAGAGAACCGUAAUAAAUGCAAAGAAGAAGCAUCUUUUAUCCAGUAGCGAAGGGCUUGAACCAAGAUUUCUAGAUGGAUGGGGUAAGGUAUUAGUAAUCUAACGCAUAAUUUAAAUGUGAGAAUUUGUCCUUUAAAAAAGGAAAUAUUGAAUGAAUAGAUUGUAAAUUAUGAGAUUUUGCUACUUCUUCCUACGUUACUAAUUGUAAAGGAAAAUGGAAUUUCCACAAUAGAACUUUAAACCCAUUUUCUUAGAGGGUUACGAAAAUAAAAAGAUGGGUUUCUUAAUAUCUCCGAACAAAUGGGAUCAAGGAACUCCUUUGCAAGGACAGGUCCAUUACAAACGUUUAGAUCCUAAGUCAUUAUUAUAUCAUUUAUCAACCCCAAUGCAAACAAGAUUGGGGACUCUUCCAGAAAUGCCUUCACCAGCUAUCAUAAACAAACUCUUCUAGCAAUUCUUGUUAUUGUAAUAAAAUAUAUCACAUCUAAGAGAUGGUACUCAUACCUGCCCUUGAGAUAAAGUAAGGAGGAAGCUCUCCAAGUGCAGUCCCGAUACCCCACAAGAUAGCCUCCAUCUGCACCUGCGGCAGGAUGCUGCUAAUAGGAACCCUUGACCCAUGUGAUGAUGAAAACGAUGGGGGCCCAAACUCUCCACAGGAUUUGUCCAGCCAAGAAGGAACUGUCUUCAACUGUAUCGUAUCAUAUGGAGCACUUUUCAGGUCUAUUCGUCCACAUUGCAUGGCUUUUAUUGUAAACAAGGCAAUAUGAGGACCAAAUAAAGGACAAAAGUGUGCAGACCAGAUCCUGGAAUAGGAAAGGUGAAGUAGAAAAAUAACAAAUCAGAUCAAGGCAUAUUUCUUUUGGUGCCCCAAAACAUAGCAAAAUAAUAACAGAGCAGUAUAAACAUUUAAUCAGAUCAGAUUCCGAACACUUCCAUUGGCACAAAUAUAGGCAUAGCAGAAACCAGACAAAAUGAUUUCCUCUCUUUCAUCCCUGUAAAACGGUUAAAACACAUGUGUACACCAUACACAACAAUCUUGGAAACAAUCAUUAAAGUGCUACUGCUAAUGCUAAAAUUAUCGCAGUUAGCUUGUUUUUGGGCUAGAUUUGAUGAAAACAGAUCAUGGCGACCUAAGUCACUUAAAAAUUAAAAGAUAACAAUAAUUAGAAAGAAACCCAUCUAAAAGAUUAGACCUAAGUUUCAAUGCAGAAGAAAUUGAACAUUUCCAUAAAUACCAUUUUGGCAUCUGCUUAGUCAGCCAAUGUUAGUAAGAAGAAUUUAAAUGGCCUAUAAUUUAUACUGCUAUAUCAGCAACAGAAAAUCGCUGAUUAAUCAUGCUUUAUUUAUCAAGCAUACUCCUCCAGACAUCAUAAAAGAUCAUGAAAUCAAUGACUUACCAAGACCAAUUGAAGAUGCAACACCAAGUGCAAUCCACCAUAAUCCAAACUGAACAUACCGAGAUGCUUCCUGGACAUGCUGUUGAAAAAUGUAAUCAAACAUCAACUGUUAAUUAUUGUUUCCACUAAUCUGGUCAGAAUAAAUGAUGAAGAAUAAGAAUGAAACAGAAAUUAUUUCAACUAAAUAAUGUGCACAAACUUAUCAUAAUCACCAUAGAAAAUAAAAAGGUUCAAAUACAUAUGGUUCAUUAAAAGACAAUAAGAACUACCAGAGCCCUACCCACCAGUACCCCAACCCCCCCCCCCCCCCCAAAAAAAAAAAAAAAAACGAAAGGAAUACAGCAACCAAGGACAAGACGCCAACGAAACAAACCAAUAAUGGGCCAUUUUGCAUUUCUCAAUUGGAUAGGUAAAUGGAGCAGAUAGUGCACAACAAUCACCAAUUCUAAACAAAUAAAAAAAGCUUCUCAUCAUAUACAAAUGCUUGUUGUACAUCAACAGAAAACUAUAACAAAGACAGAUGAAAAUACUAGGAUAACCUGCAAAUUUAAUUACCUUUUCAUGAGGGCCCUCCAAUAGUCAUAAGCAAAAUUCCAAGAGCUGCUACUAGAGAGCUUAAAAGCAUAAGCCAACCACCCUUUGCCAAAAGAUAUAAUACUGAUUGCUUACAAUAUUGAAAGAUAGCCAGAAUGAAAAGCCUUAAUGUUUUGAAGGGCUGUGUUGUCAAUGUUAAAUUUUCUAAUUCUUGCCGAUGUCUCUCACGAAGAUCUGCAAAAUUUAACAAGUCUAUCAGCUGUGGGUUUAGAAGAACUCAAUGGCUCAACAUUUUCUCUUUAUACUAAGCAUCAAAAUAAAGCUCAUAUUAUUUAACAUGCCUGCAUAAAGGAAACUGUCAUAUCCACUUCUAAUUCAUUUACAGAGGAAACAAAAAUCAAUUAUAUGACAAAAACAACAAACAUUCCUGCACUAACUACUAGGUAUAGGAGUUUUAUAUAUUCUAAGAACAGAAUCUCACAUAAGCAAAUAAACUGAUUAAACAGCAACAUUGCACUUGCCAAUAUUACGAAAAAAGGCUGUCAACUUUAUAGAACAUUGAUAAUAUGGAUCUGUACCAAUUUCACAGAUGGUUUGCUCACAACUCUACACAGAUUUAAUUAAGAAAGCCAUGGCUCUUUUCUCUAUAAAAUCCAAAAUUUAAACAAGAAAAAGCAAACAAAUUGAUCUAUAUGUUUCAUGUUGAUCUUAUGAAGGGAAGAGAGAAUCAAGCCAUGGUUACUUUCAACAAGAAGGGAAGAGAAUUUUGAACCAAUCUUAUGGAGGAGAUUAAGAUAUCCCCACUCUUGUGCAGAAACUUAAUGGAUACAACAGCAUAGAUAAAAUAGAUGAUUCAACGAUUUCACCAUUGGUAGAGAAUCAACCCAGAAAGAAAUGUAUACAUGAGGGUGCAUAUUUUCCACCAUUUUUCUGGACACACCAAAAUGAGUCCUAAGUACCUACGUCACAAUCUCCAAGUACUUGCUAUUAUCAAUCCAAACUUAGCUUCUAUUUUCUUCCUCCCCCUACAUUGUUGCAGGAAGAACCCAAAUCCAUAUAACACCAAAGCUCCCAAAACUACAUAUUGCACCAAAAAAAACCACCCCUCAAGAUGGAAAAUUUUCAAUUCCACAAUUUACAGAAGCACCUGCCAUAAGAUAAACCAUACUUCCCCGCUAAUCAAAGAUUGAACAUAGAGUGAAUCUUCCAACAAAUUGACACACCCUCAUAACACAGAAAAGAAAUGCUACACUAUUUCUUUUUUCUUUAUGCAUCUUUACCAGAAAUAAAAGGGCAAUCUAUAUAAUAUAUGAUGCACAAGCCCUGAACCUUAAUGUUCAAAAAGUAUUCAACACUUGCCUUCUUGCACCAUCAAACCCAAACUCCAUUUAUUUCUAGUCUUGCUUAUACAUUGAGCUCGUUUCAUUCGUUCUAAUAAUUAAUCAACCGGUUUCUAGAGGGACACGGUUAACUUAAUUAUUGAUUUUUAGAACAAUUAAAUCAUAAUUAAUCUAAUUAAUAAACUAGAAAAUUUCAUUAACAACAAGAGAUCUAGGAAAAACCCAACUUGAUUCGAGUUCGUAAAUAAAAUUAAAUGGGCAAAAAAAAAAAAAAAACCCAAUGACACGAAAAGGAAAAAUAAUAGUAACAAAAUCAAAAUUUCAGGAGAAAAAAGAAUUACAAAAGUAAAAAACUUGCCUUCAAUCGACGUAUCCAUUUUGUUUGAGAAGAACACGUCGCGCUUUGCCUGACCCCAUCCCCACACUCACAUACUACGACUAAACAAAACCCCUUUUUUCAAUUUCUUCAAUUAAUUUGGAAUUUUCGUCAAUAUCGACCGCUUUUCUGAAAAAAAAAGCGUUGAUUUUGAACAAGGAUCUGACGACUAUAAUCUAAUAACAUGAAAAGGAAUCAAGCAUUUUUCUUUUCAAUCACGAAUAAUAAUAAUAAUAAUAAUAAUAAUAACAACAACAACAACAACAACAAAAAUUUAUUUUUGAAAUAAAAUUGCAGAUCUAGAGAAGAAGAAAUCAAGAGCGGGAGAGAGCAAUUUUGGGCUGAAGAUCUCUCCUGAGUUCUUGCUUUGAGCUUUUUUCUCUCUCUAUUCUCUCCUCCAGUCUGUGAGAAAACAACGAGAUUAGAUUUCUAGUAAGUAUAAUCUUUGUUUUUUAAUUUAAAAAAUUGGCUUUCCUUUUAGCAAAAGUUUAAAUGGAAAGUAAAAUUACUUUGUCGCUCAUUGGUGUAAUUCUUAAAAAAAAUAAAAAUAAAAUAAAAAGAGAUAAUUUAUAUAUUCUUUAAUAUUGUUAACAUAAAAUAAACUAAAAUAUUCUUUUUUUAAUAUUAAUAAUAAAUAAAAAGAAAAGAAAAAACUUGAAAAUUGUAGACUUACUUAAAAAAAAAAAACAAAUUUAAAGAGUUUUCCUUAAGUGUUUUAUAUAUUAUAUAUAUAUUAUUAUAUAUAUAUUAUAUUUUUUUGCUUAUCACAAUCUUUGCUACAACCUUCAAUUCUAAAAAAUUUUGGUUUUUUACUAAGUUUACAAUGAAAAAAAAAAAUUCAUUCAUUCUUUCGCUUUUAAAGCAUCAUUGGAAUGAAAAAAAAAAUUACAUAUCAAAAUUUGUAAUAAAUUAUAAUGAAGUUGGUUUGAGCAAAUUAAGAAAAAUUAAAAGAAAAUUUGACAUUCGGGAUGAGAAAAAAUGGGUUGGUAAAAUGUGAGAUAAGACGAAGAAGGAUAAGAAAUUGAGAAAAAAAAAAAAAGGUAGUAGGAAUGAAAUAAUCACCAUUAUUUAGAAACGUGCCCGCUAAAUGAUCAUGAAUGUAGGAGGAAGACAAUAGCGAUGGUGAGACGUGAAAAAGAAGGAAAAAAAGAGAGGUGUUCAAUACGUGAUUUUUUUUCUUUUAUAAUUUUAGUUGUCAUAAUGUUUAGAUUCGGAAUCUAUUAUUAGACAUUGACUUGAAAGAGUAGUCACAAUCUUUUUUAUUUAGGUGCGAUUGAUCACCUAAAGAAUCUAGCCUUUCAGAAAACACCUAAGUUUAAGGGUCCUAAAAGAAUAGGUUCAGGUCUACUAAUCAGAACAUGGUUCGAGAGUUCGGUUACGUGUGAGGAAGGUUAUAGCACCCUCACAACGCCCAUCAAAAGAUGGUACCAGCUUAAAUUUGUGUUAUCCAAUGAGCCUUAAAAUUUAUCAAGUGAUUAAUUAUUAAAAAUUAUUCUCAAUUGACUCUAAUACUUUUAGCAUAAAAUUAAAAAAAUUUUCUCACCUCAGGAGUAUGCAAGAAAAAUUAUUGUUUCACUUGCAGAGGCUCUAUCGUCGGAUUAUUUAACAUUAAAAAAAAUAAUAAAUAAAUAAAUAAAUAAAUAAAAAGGAAGAAAAGAAUGAUUGUUUUUGUGCAAGAAAAAUUGAUACUUUCAACUUUUUCUCAAAAUAUCUUUUGAAACUUUAAUUUCUAAGAAAAUUGAUACUUUCAACUUUUCCUUAAAAACUUUUUUUGAAAAUUUAUUUUAAGGAAAAAUUGAUACUUUCAAACUUUUUUUUCAAAAAAUAUUUUUUUUAUGGAAAGCUUAUUUUCAGAAAAUUGAUACUUUCAACUUUUCCUCAAAAUCUUUUUUUUUGAAAAUUUAUUUUUAAGGAAAAUUGAUACUUUUAACUUUCCUAAAAAAUAUUUUUUUGAAAACUUAAUUCGAAGAAAAUUGAUACUUUCAACUUUUUCUCAAAAUAUUUCUUUUUGAAAAUUUUUAUUUUUGUAAAAAAAAUAAAAAUAAUACUCCUGAAAAUAACUAACACAAAAAAACAAAUAAAUAAAUAAAUAAAAUACCAAAAAAAAAUUAUCUUGACUUGAAAAUUCGACGGGCUCUACUAGAUUGUCCAAUUAACUAAUUCUGCUGUAUAUUUGUAGCAUUUGUCAUUGUCCUAUUAUGUUUGGCUGCUGCAGCUGUUGUUGUGCCUAUGGACUCAACAGGGUUGAAGUAGGUGAGACAAAUGGAGCCUGAAAGAGUAGGGGUGAAGAUGUAUGAAAUUAGGCACUUGGUUUUGAAUGCUCAUAAGAAUAACCUGGAAGUUGGCCACUUGAGAGAUUUGUUUGAAGAACCCCAGACUAACACCGAUUCCCUAUCUCAUGUUCACAUCAUUUAUAUAAUCCAUUUCAUGCAGCUGUUUUCGUUGCUGUAUCUAAAUCCCUUAACAACUGCAGCAACUACCAUUGUUUUAAUAACAAUUACUAAUAUUACAGCUGCUAUCAAUAUGUUAACGUGGAUUCCAAAGGAAAUGCACAUGAAUCAACAUCCCAAUAAUGGCUGAAAGAGAGCAGCAAGUAAUUACGGAUUGCUCAACUUGUUCGAGUGUAUGCUGAUUCAGAUCAAAGGUUGAUAUCAUCACUCCUAGCAGCAAAUGAAGCCCAGCUCAUCACCAAGCAACAAGCAAGUAAAUGCUGCGGAUGCCAACUGAUAGAGCUUUUUAGUCAACGAUUUAGUCAUGGAUAGUACUCCUUGAAGGACACCGGAACUGCCACCUAGAACUGGAAGUAAAGUAACAGCAAACCCACAGCAUAGUCCAUAGGAUAAGAAUUUAAAUUGUCGCCUGACCAUGAAGGGCACUUAUACCAUUCCUUUCCAUCAAAAAUUUUGAAACCACUGCUAUAGAAUACGUAGAUAGGAAUGCACAAACAAAAACCCCCUCAGAAAGUUUACCUCCACAUAACUCUAAGGACAAACAACUGCUCGAACAACACGAAGCUUUGUUUGUUAAAACUCCAAGCCUGAUACGUGAAUCCUUGGUUGCAUAUUUUGGUGUAAUUGAUUGGGCUGUUGUUGCAAACCCAAUUGUUGCUGCAGCUGAAUAGAUUGUAAUUGGCAUCUGUGACAUCAGAUGCUGCCUUUCGCAUCAUCCAAUCUGUGCUCCAAAGCGUUCAUGGAUGCUUUGUAGCAAAGGAUUCCAAGCUUUGAGGUGCAAUUGCUCCACCCUGUGACAAACUCGCCACUACCGGUAAAAGGAAGCCUUAGCCAUAAAAUUUUGAUUAUUCAAUAGCUUGUAAAUCCUUGGACCAUAGCUUCUGAAAAGCAGCCAAAAGAGGAUCAGUUGCACAUUCCACCAUCCUUAGCCAUACACAAUGCUCGACGUAACAAAAUGGAGCGUAUUUUCCAACGUGUUUUCCAGAACCUGGUCCAGGUACGACGACUAAAACUUUGGGUGACCCACCAUCCAAGCAACUGUUAGCUGAAACUCUUCUUGAAGCAACUUGCCUAUUUCUGAAAAGCAUUGAAUGCGAGAAAAUCCCAAUCAUCAGACAUUCCAGAUCUUCAAAGAAGGUCUCUUUCCCCUCAAACCUGGAGUAAUUCCAUCAGAUUGGACAAAAUCUUGGUCUUUAAUAACUUUUUGGGUCAUGGAUGGAGAGGUCACCCACCAAAGAGAGGCCUUGAGGGCCUAGCGGCAACGGAGGCUUCCCCCUUUGUUUUUGCUUCCCUCUCUCCUAUUCGAAUUUUUCUUCUAUCUUUUUUUUUUAUUUUUCUAUUACUGUGAAUUGUAAUGAUAAUAAAACCAAGUGAUUGUGUUUCGGUUUAAUUCCCAUUAGUUUAUCCAAUGCUAAAGAUUUAGCAUCUAAUUAUCGCUUUCUGAUCAUCAUCAAACUUAAUCUCAAUCUUUUUUUUAAAUAAUCAGAUAAUAAAAAUAGAAAAAGAAAAAUAAACAAUAAGUAGACCAUAAAUAAAAAUAAAAAAAUGAUAAAUAUGAAAUAAAAAUCUGAAAUAAAAAUAAAUAAAAAAUGAAAAAAUUUACAAUCGAGCUUUGAUCGAUUUUAAUUGACAAAAGACUCCGGACAAAAAUGGGGUGUCUACAGCUGUCCUUCUUUGCCACAUUUUUUGUGAAACAAAAAUUGUGCAAAGACGUAGACAACCCAUUCAAGACUCAACUGGAAUUAUUUUUUUUUUGCCUAUUUUAUUUUGCUUUUUUUUUGUAAUUUUGAUCAAAGUUCCUCUAAGCAGAGGCUCCAACGACUUUGAGAAACAUAAAAAAAGCUCCUCUAAACAGAGGCUCAACUUUUUCUUUUUGUUUUCUUGCUCUCUUUUUUUUUUUUUAAAUUGAUCAAAGCUCCUCUAAACAAAGGCUCAACGACUUUGAGAAACAUAAACAAAGCUCCUUUAAACAGAGGUAAUUUUUUUUUUGUUUUUUUGUUUUUUUUUAUUUUUUUUUCAAGCUCCUCUAAACAGAGUCAACGACUUUGAAAGUAAAUUGUCCUCUAAACAGAGGCACCACGACUCUGAAAAGUAAUUGCUCCUCUAAACAGUGGUACCACGACUUUGAGAAAGUAAAUUGCUCCUCUAAACAAAGGCACCGCGACUUUGAAAAGUAAAAUUGCUCCUCUAAACAAGGCACCACGACUUUGAGAAAGUAAAUUGCUCCUCUAAACAGAGGCACCACGACUUUUGAAAGUAAAUUGCUCCUCUAAACAGAGGCACCACGACUUUGAAAAGUACCAUGACUUUGAAAAAUAAAUUGCUCCUCUAAUAGAGGCACCAUGACUUUGGAAAAUAAAUUGCUCUCUAAAACAAAGGCACCUACGACUUUGAAAAAUAAAUUGCUCCUCUAAACAGCAGAGCACUACGACUUUGAAAGAAAAUUGCUUCUGAUAAUCAUGUCCAAAGGAGUUAUAGAUGCGUGAUUGAAAAAAAUUUUAUACUGAAGAACUCAAAGAUUCACAAUUUGAGUUCAACAUUCAUAGGUUUAGAUUCGUAGAACCUUUCAACUUCGUAAGAAUUUACUAAAAAUUUGAUUAUCAAAAAUUUCAGUUUCAUUCAAAUUUGUAAGAUAUCACAGAUUUGCAUUUGCAACUUGCAAGACUCGCAUCAAAGAUCCUCAUUUAAAUUUUGGAGACUCACAUCUAAAAGUUCAAGGCUUUUCAAAGGUUCUCGUUUGCAAACUUGGAAUUCAUAUCCAAAUAUCUAAAGCUUUUCAUUUGAAUUUUGGUAAUUCACAUCAAAAAAUUCAAAGCUUUCAUUUGAGUUCAAAGGUUCACAUGCAAUAAAACUUAGAGUUUCACAUCUAAGUUCCAAGAUUCUCAUUUAAAACAUUAGAAAUUCAUAUCCAAAAGAUGAAGCUUUGUAUUUUGGAGAUUCACAUCCAAAAGUUCAAACUUUUCAUUUGUUCGAAGAUUCACAUUCGACAAACUUUAGAUUUUCACUUCUCAAAGAUUUUAUUUUGAAACUCAAAGAUUCUCAUUUGAGUUCUUAAAAAUUCUCAUCAAAAUAUUCAUAAUUUUUUUUUAAGUGACUCAACAAUUUGCAUGAAUGAAUGUUAUGACCAUAGAUACAAAUGCCUUUUAAUGAUGCAAAUGCGGUGACCUAUAUUCUCAUAGUGCCAUGCAUGUCCCAAACAAAGUUUAAUUCAUCAAAUUAUGUGUAUGUACUAUUCAAGCAAUGAUGCCACCAUGAUGCAUGUAAUGCGAAUGUUAAUAAUGUCAUGAAAUCCUAAAUAAUUAUGGUAAUAUGGCUCUCAAAACUCUAUCAUUUCGCAUGUCUUUCUUGUUCAGUUUUUCAAUACUUUGAAAUAAGUUUCAUCAAUCGAUCAUCACUUGACCACCAUUCAUAGACUUCUCAACACUAAAAAAUUUCAGAACAAGUUUCAUCCACCAUCACUAAGUCAUUACUUAUAGGUGUUUAACCAUUCCAAAACAAACUUUGUCCACUGAUUAUUUUCAUCAUUCAAUCAUAACUUGCAAGUCAUAUCGACCAAUUCCAUCCUUGUACUCAUCACUUGGUUAUACCAUUUUUCAAGAUUGCUCCAUCAUAUCUCUAUUUGGUCACAUCAUAUAUCCUUUCAAAUCAUCUCUUUUAGGUUUUUACCAUUUUUUCAUUUUGUUACCACCAUCAUCUUAGAAUUUCUUUUCAAAUGAAUGCAAGACUCUUUUAAGCACAUAUUCAUUCAUUCAUUAUCAUUUCAAAUCUUGACAAACAUAAUGCAAUCAAGCAUUUUCUCAAUUCAUUCUAGGGUGUAACAAAUAAGAGAACACAAGGUGAAUUAUGGAAAGAUAAUCAAUGAAGAACUAUUUUGGUACAAAACAAAUGGGAAGGAAAUAAAUUGGAUACAUGUCAUAAGGAUGAAUGGUAUGUCCAAACGAUGAAGAUUCAGACAAUUUUCAAACAUUAAUCUAGGAUUCUUUUUUCAAAAACUCAUUCCAUUUAUGUUAGAGUCAUUUUGAACUUGAUGAACUUUGCCCCAGUUUUGAGGGGUCUUCAGAUGUCUUUGAUCUUCCAUCCAUGUGAACCAUUUGACCUGGAUCUAUCAAAAUCACCGUUUCAGGUUUUGCAAUUUGAAUAUCUUUUUUCAUUUUCUCAUUUUUUCUUCUUUCUUUCUCAUUUUUUUCUUUUUUUUUCUAAUUUUUUUCAUCAUUUUUUUUCUCAUUUUUCAUCCAUUGUUGAUAUCUUCCAUACAUCCAACUUUAGAGCAAUGUAGCAUGGUUCCCAUUGUUUCAUCAUGAGCAUGCCUUCGCUUAAUAUAUGAUCAUUCAGUUAAGCAAUUCACACUUGAUCCAAAAUGGGCUUUUCAAGGUUGUAAUGUAGGUCAAAGUGAGGGGUCAUAAAAGAAAUAGAUAUAAUAGGCUCAAAACAUGUAUUAAAAAGGUUUCAAAACCAAGGAUUAUUUGAUGUAACUUGAUAUUUUGCCUCACAUCAUUUCACUAUUUUUUUCUUUCCUCACACAAAGGAUUCUCAUUAUUUUUACCCCCAAAUAUUAUGUGGCAUUUAUUUUCUUUUGCUUUUCUUUCUCUUUCCAUCUUUGAGACCUUUUGUGAUAUAUAUAUAUUUUUUAAAAAUUAUCUUCCAGUGUAGAGGGUGAUCUUUGGUUGGGGUUCUUUAAAAAAAAAAUAAAAUUAUAAUAGGCCUCAAAAGGGGUAACAAUAAAAUGAUUUUUCCGAAUGGUAAAAAAAAAUAUGAUCAUUUUUUAUCUCCAAUUUGUGAAUGCCUUUCUUGACAUUCAUCCUAUUGAACAAAGCUCAUAAACUUGUAUAAAGAUUAUACAGAUCUUCAAGAACAUAGUCUAUUUUACCUUCAGUACCAGCUUACUUUUUGCUCAAAUCAUCUUCUCAUAUUAAUGUGGAUGAGUUCUCAAAAUUAAAUCCCAGAAUUAUUGUUAUCAUUGUCUAAAAUAUUCAUCAUUCAAAAUUUGAAAAUGGGAAUGUUAAAGUUAUGAAAGGUACAGGCCAUGGAAUAAUGGUCGAGUGAAAGAGAGAAAUUCAAUGAAAUGCAUUAACUUACCCUUAAGUAAGAUGAUAACAAGUGAAAUCAUAUGCAGAAAGAAAUCCUAACAUUACUUUAAAAGAACUCUUAGAAUGACAAGUGGCAUUUAACCAGUUUUAACAUCCUCUUUAAAAUCAUGCCCCUAGACAACCAGGUGAAGGAUUUUUAUCUCGUCCCAUUGAUUCAUUGUGACUCUUCAUAUUCUUGAUCCUCAAACAAAAUGAUUGGGCUUUUUUUGUCGAGUUCUAAAGAUACAGGCUUGAUCAUUUAAGCGGCUGCUUCCAUUAUCAUGCUCCCUGUUGUAUUGCUUCUGGUAAAGGUAAUCUUAUCAACAUUGGGAUGAUAUGCCAAAGGAAUCGUAACUUUUAGGCCCAAUCCAGUUAGAAUAUUCAAGACAUCUGGAGGAAAACCAACCUGCCUACAUACGUUAACCAGCUCCAAACAGGCGAUAGGUACCAAUUCGAAAGGUUUCAGUAUUGUAACACAAUCUGUAACCAAAGCAAGAGCUACUUUUCAGUUGACCAUCAACAGUGGAUAAUUUCAUAGAGUAAUUAAUCUAACGACCCCAAGUGGUUCCUUAAGCACAUAACUCUUAAAUGUCUUAAUAGGAAGAGAGAUAACAACCUUUUACUUUACAUCUAAACCUUUAGCAAGGUACAUAUAGUACUAAAAACAUCCAGCAACAUCAUUAAUGUCCCAAGUUGCUUCAUCAAGUAGUUUCCCGUAAUCAAUUACUCAAGCUUUGCUAAUUCAGAUUUUCUCUCUGUUAUCUUGGAAAUGAUGGCCCGUAAAUACUUGGCACGAACAAUGCCAGAAGUUGAAGCUCAUUCCAUCUUUGAUUAACCGUUGCACCUCAUGCUUUAGAGUAGUGUAAUUUUUAAUGCAAUGGCCAGCAAUUCUAUAGUAGUAGUCAUAAUGAGCUGUAGGAUCCUACCAUUUAGGAUGAGGUGAUUUAAGUGGGUCACAUGGUUUGAGGCAAUCAGGUGGUUAUUAUAGAGCUCUCAGUAUAACUCCGUAUAAGUCAUGAGGAUUGGAUCAAAUACAAGUUUUUCUCGAAUAGUCCAUUACUCUCGUGUACCACUUUUUAAGCUAAUAGGAUGAAUUUAGGGUCUUACAGGAGUUUGACUGUUAAAGCUGUAUAUAAGAGCUUGGGGGAUAAAAAUGGACUGGUAUAUGGAUGAAUUAGGUGGUUGUGAGGGCUAGUUGGUAUGGAUAAGAUGAAGCAUUGUUCACAGUAAGAUAGUAUGAAGAGUAAUAUGAGGGUAGAUAGGGUUGAUAUCCCCUGAACUAUCUGUCAAAGCCUACAGCUUGAGCUUUAAUCUCUUUCUUCUUAGGUGUCUUCUUGGUUUCUUCUCCUUUCAGCUUGCCAUUCUCAAUGAUUUCGUCUGAGAUCACCGUGUCAGUAAAAUUUUUUGUGGCAUUCCCUAUCAUCCCUUCAUAAUAGAGGGAUUUCAAAAUACUGACAAACAAUACGGUGGUCUCUUUUUUAGUCAAAAGAGAUUACACUUGAGAAGCAAUAUCCCUCCACCAUUGGGCAUAUUCUUUGAAUGAUUCAGUUGCUUUUUUAUUCAUAUUCUGUAAAAAAAGAUGAUCAAUGACCAAGUCUAUUAUAUGCUGGUAUCGACUAAUGAAAGAAUAAGUCAUAUCGCUCUAAGAACCAAUACGAUUCAUGUCUAACUGGACAUACCACCUAGCAGUAGAGUCAGUGAGGUUGUCUUAGAAUGCAUGCAUCAAGAGCUUUUCAUUAUUGGUAUGGGCAGUCAUUUUUCGACAAUACAUAAUAAUGUGAAUUUUUGGACACUUUGUACCAUCAUAUUUCUCAAACUUUAGCACCUUGAAUUUGGAAAAAUAACCAUAUCAGGAACUAAACAGGGCCCAGCAGUAUCAACUGAGCUAUAAAAACUAACUCCUUCCACUGCUCGUAACGUUUUCUNNNNNNNNNNNNNNNNNNNNNNNNNNNNNNNNNNNNNNNNNNNNNNNNNNNNNNNNNNNNNNNNNNNNNNNNNNNNNNNNNNNNNNNNNNNNNNNNNNNNNNNNNNNNNNNNNNNNNNNNNNNNNNNNNNNNNNNNNNNNNNNNNNNNNNNNNNNNNNNNNNNNNNNNNNNNNNNNNNNNNNNNNNNNNNNNNNNNNNNNNNNNNNNNNNNNNNNNNNNNNNNNNNNNNNNNNNNNNNNNNNNNNNNNNNNNNNNNNNNNNNNNNNNNNNNNNNNNNNNNNNNNNNNNNNNNNNNNNNNNNNNNNNNNNNNNNNNNNNNNNNNNNNNNNNNNNNNNNNNNNNNNNNNNNNNNNNNNNNNNNNNNNNNNNNNNNNNNNNNNNNNNNNNNNNNNNNNNNNNNNNNNNNNNNNNNNNNNNNNNNNNNNNNNNNNNNNNNNNNNNNNNNNNNNNNNNNNNNNNNNNNNNNNNNNNNNNNNNNNNNNNNNNNNNNNNNNNNNNNNNNNNNNNNNNNNNNNNNNNNNNNNNNNNNNNNNNNNNNNNNNNNNNNNNNNNNNNNNNNNNNNNNNNNNNNNNNNNNNNNNNNNNNNNNNNNNNNNNNNNNNNNNNNNNNNNNNNNNNNNNNNNNNNNNNNNNNNNNNNNNNNNNNNNNNNNNNNNNNNNNNNNNNNNNNNNNNNNNNNNNNNNNNNNNNNNNNNNNNNNNNNNNNNNNNNNNNNNNNNNNNNNNNNNNNNNNNNNNNNNNNNNNNNNNNNNNNNNNNNNNNNNNNNNNNNNNNNNNNNNNNNNNNNNNNNNNNNNNNNNNNNNNNNNNNNNNNNNNNNNNNNNNNNNNNNNNNNNNNNNNNNNNNNNNNNNNNNNNNNNNNNNNNNNNNNNNNNNNNNNNNNNNNNNNNNNNNNNNNNNNNNNNNNNNNNNNNNNNNNNNNNNNNNNNNNNNNNNNNNNNNNNNNNNNNNNNNNNNNNNNNNNNNNNNNNNNNNNNNNNNNNNNNNNNNNNNNNNNNNNUCAAUCAGUGGCAUCAAUGCUCCUAAUUCUCAGCUGCAACUUAAGCGGAAUCAACAACAGCAACAGCAGAUGCUUCAGCUUCAGAAGCUGCACCAAUUUGGGGCUGCUCCUGCUCCCCAAAGUAAGACACCAGCAAAAAGUAAUGGAAGUGCUUAUUCUGAUCACCUUCCUUCACCAUCUAUGCCUGCCAGGUUUCCAAAUGCCCUGUCUGCAUAUCCUCAAAAUCUAGUGCAAAGCAGUGGCAGUUCAGCUCAGUCUCCUCAAUGGAAGAAUUCUAUGAGGACAGCUAUCUCUCAAGUUCCUUCUGCAUCUCUAUCUUCAACUUCAUCAUCCCUCAAGAAUAUUCCCCCGCAACAAGGUCGGCCACAGCAAAGCCACACACACAUUUCUUUUGCUGCUAAUUCUAAAUCAACACAAGGCCAACAGCCUACUGGUAGUACUCCAUCCCCUCUCAUCCUAUGAUGGUUGGCUCUCCCUCAACUUCAAUCUCCAGGAGUGCUGGUGGUAGCCCAAGGACAGCUAGUCCACUGUCUACUGGGCAAACAAAGGUGCCAAGCAUCUAGUUUAUCGACUCAGCAGGCCAAGAACUCACCUUCAGUGCCUAGUCUGAAGUCAUCUCCUGUCGGUGGAAGGAGUGUGCCAUCCAUCCUGGAAACCCUCACAUUAGUUCAUCUUCAAAUUACUGUAACCAAGCCCCAAGUGGCGCAACAGCAGCAGCAUCAGCAUCAGCAUCAAAAGCAUGCCAUUGCAUCAAACGCAGAUGUUAUUUUCUAAUGCUUUCAUGCAGGGCCAAGUUCAAAAACUCAGCAAGUGCAACAGCUGCAAGUGGGUACUGAUCUUCAAAAACACCGCAAUGAGCAACAGCACACACAGCCUCCAAGCUCAUCAACAACUUCAAUGGUUGUCGAUGUGUUCUGCGGUUACUCUUGCCAACACUGGCACCACUGACCCUGCAAAGGCCAGUAGUUGCCUGCUUGCUGCAGGCAAUAUGAAAGGAGGUGGCUUAGCGUCACAGGGACUUAUCCAUGCUGCACAAUUUGCUACUACUCAGUCCCUCUGGAAAGCCGCAUCAGUAUGUGCCAGGCUUCCCCAUUUGUUCAUGCUGUCCCUGCUGCUGUUCAGGUAAAACCAGCAGAUCAACCUGCUGGUGAGUAGAAUUAUGUUCCUUUUUGCUUCGUAUACAAACCCCAUAUAGUGAACAAGAAACAGAUUCAGCAACAAAAAGAGAUUUAGUUAGAUUGGGUACUGAAGAUUUAUGAAGGGGACACUGGUUUUCUUGCCCAGAAAUGACAUUAUGCGCUCUGACACAGCCCAACAAGACUUGACAAAAUGCAAAAGCGGAGGUGAUUGAAAGCUAUCACGUGGCAUAGAACUCACUCAACCACAAUUUUGCAAAGAUUAAUGCAGUGGUGGGGAAUUGUUCCUUGUAAAUUGUGCCUUGCAAUGUGUAUCCAACAUAUUUAUGUAAUCUUGUGUUUAUAACCUGAGAAGGUUGAUCCUGGAGUCUCUAAUUAAAUUUGAUUGGUUUGGUGGGCAGAAGAUGGAGUCAAAAAUGUUUUGUAGGGCAAAAGAAGAUGGUAGGGAUGAGGAAAAGAAAGGAAGAGCAACACCUACUUUUCCAUCUUUUGGGGCUGUAAUGGAGGUUCUUUUUCUUAUGAUUCUCUUCUUUUCUUUUAGGAUUUUGAAUUUUCCAAGAUAGAUGACUCAACAAAUCUUUUGACAUAAUAUUUAUGCAACUGAAAGGUGUAUAUGUAUUUGUCUAUCACAUAUAAGAGUAACCCUCUUAGAUUUUUUUUAUAUAACUCUCCAUUUUGAUUAUGUGCCUCUUUGGGUAAUAUGCCUUACUUUUAACUAGUCUUUUACUACUUGAUUAAAUUAUUUUCUGUACAUUUUAUUUACUGGGCUCAAAGAAAAUUUCGUUUAGAAUUUUCUGCCGCAACAAGGAAUAUUCUGAGACAGAAGUUUGUUUUAUGUUUUGAUUGUUGUGUGUGGUGAUAAAAAGAGAUAGAUAUUGUGUGC